Molecule: long non-coding RNA, 2556 nt
Filed under: Capsicum annuum
Lineage: Eukaryota; Viridiplantae; Streptophyta; Magnoliopsida; Solanales; Solanaceae
Description: long non-coding RNA (CANN_LNC007840)
Source: RNAcentral
CAUAGCCAGCUCCUUGAUUUCUCCAUCAGAAAAUGUUGUUGUUGUUCCGAAAGAUAUAUAAAGAACUGAUUUUGGAAGUUGUUUGUUCAGCCACUCCAAACACAUAUUGUUCCUAUUUGAGAUAUGAUCUCGGUUGGUAGGAAUAAUAGGUCCAAUUGCCCAUUGUUUCUUGUUCUGAUAAAUUUCUGCCAGCAAAUCAAGAUACUUGCCUUCAAUUACUUUACUUGUAUUAUGGAUAUCACCUGAUCUAAAUUGUCAAUUUUUACAUAUUUCCAAAUAAUUUUCUUACGUUAUAUAUUUGUCAUUACAUAUGCUUACUUUCUACUCUUUCCGUUCUAUUUUAUUUGACCUCUUUUAACUUGGCACACCAUUAAAAAAACUUUAAUUUGAAGUGUAUUUUAAUUUACAAAAUUAAUCCUAUUAAUGAUGUCUUGAAAUUCUAAAUCUAACUAUUAUUAUUUUCUUUAAUUUUUUAAUACCGAGGAUAAAUUGAGAGAGAAACUCUUGAUUUGCAAAAAUAAACUACUGAUUUGAAAAAAACAUAUUUGAAAAGAAGGCCAAGGAAGAGAGUAUCAACUGUGUUUGGUUUUGUUUUCCUCGCGGAUGUGGUGAGGGGCUGAGGUGGAGGGGUGGUCCGGGGAGUCUGGGUAGAGACAAAGCUAUUAAAAUAUUUAAAUAAUGAUAUAUGUCAAGUGUAAGCAAUUAUAUAUUGAAUUCAAAAUUUUAUUGUUUUGUAAAUUAAAAUAAUUCAAAAAGAAGUAUCUGAAGUGAAAGCAUAAUGGCAAUUAACUCGUUAUUGUUUCGUUUGUAAGUUGAGUGACUAUACUGUUAAAAAAAAAAGUUACUUUAGCAGGAUAUUUCUAUAAGUUAAGUGACAAUUUGAAGAAUUAACUCAUAUUCCCUCCGUCCAUUAUUACUUCUCCACUUUUCUAUUGUGAGAUGUUCAAUAAUAUUUGGUCAGUUUAUAAAAUCAAUGGAUAAUUUGCUCAUUUCUACCCAUUUUACCUUUAGCAUUAAAUACGAUUCAUUAUCUAAUACAUUUUUCAAAGCAUUAAAUUUAUUAUAUUCAAAGGGUAUUAUGAUAAAAUUACUCUAUCAUUUCCUGUUUCUAAAUCCCCGUGUCAAUAGAAAAGUAGAUAAAUAAAGAUGGAUCGAGUGAGUAAAACUUAGCAAAUGCAGAAUUAUUUGUGCAAAUUUAUAUAGAUAUCUCUACUGAUUUCCAACGUAAAUGUGCUUAGAAAAACUGUACCUAUAAACUUCAAGGUUUUUCUUGUACUAUUCAAUGGCAACAUCAGUAAUACAAAUUUUAUGAGUUGAUUGUCAAGUCAAAGGGUAAGGCGUGAGACUUUUUUUUCUUGUAAGGAAAAAUAGGCUCCCCGCCUUGCACUUAAUCAUUAGCUAACAUGGUUAACCUUUUAAGAACAAGGCGUGAGUUUUCAUCCACCUUGUCCUAUUUGAAAUUUUUCAAUUUUUAUGUUUCUUCGAAAUCUUGGAUGAAAAAAGUUACCUUUAGGCUCUGAACUCUGAAGAAAUGUAUACCUUUAGAACUAAAUCAUUUAUCUGUUGAGAGAGGAACACAAAGCAAUCAUCUUAUUGAACUUCGCAAAUAAAGAAAUACAAGGUAGAGUAAACUAGUCUGAAGCAAGAAGCAGAUAAAUGACAGGUUAAUAUGAAAGAAAAAUACUUUAAAAUUCUGGUGAAAAGCAGGUCUAUCUUGUGAUAUGCGCGAUAAAAGAAUCCAGCUCCAUUCGAGAAGCACCCCCUUUCUCUAUGGAUCGCCGUACAGCUUCUCCCAUUUCUUCAGCUCUUCUCCUAAUUGCAUCACCUUCUUCUGAUGCCAUCAACUUCCUCACAACAUUCUCAAUAGUGGAUGCACUUACUAGCUCCUCGCGUUUCUCCCACUCCCUCACAGUCAGGCCUACUUUCAACAUUUCCGUCAUCAAGAAACCAUUUCUCGGUUGGUCAGAGUGCAUAGGCCAAGCAGCUAUAGGCACUCCCAUAGUAAUACUCUCCAUGCAAGAGUUCCAGCCACAAUGACUCAUGAAACCACCCGUGGAAGAAUGAGCCAAGAUUUCUGGUUGUGGUGCCCAUUCUCUUACCACUAAGCCUACUUCUUUUACCCUUUCCUCAAACCCUUCUGGAAGCUCCACUCUUCUAGCUCCCCCGGUAAAGAUAUCUCCUCUAUCGGCAUCUCUCAGAACCCAUAUGAACUUCUGUUUGCUUUGUUCUAAUCCCAUAGCCAGCUCCUUGAUUUCUCCAUCAGAAAAUGUUGUUGUUGUUCCGAAAGAUAUAUAAAGAACUGAUUUUGGAAGUUGUUUGUUCAGCCACUCCAAACACAUAUUGUUCCUAUUUGAGAUAUGAUCUCGGUUGGUAGGAAUAAUAGGUCCAAUUGCCCAUUGUUUCUUGUUCUGAUAAAUUUCUGCCAGCAAAUCAAGAUACUUGCCUUCAAUUACUUUACUUGUAUUAUGGAUAUCACCUGAUCUAACAUUAUAGUACGGAAGCUGAGCAGCUGAAAAGUCCCUGGCUUCGUCUGUCAUAAUUCCUUCAAAGGAGGGU